Molecule: ribosomal RNA, 279 nt
Filed under: uncultured bacterium
Lineage: Bacteria
Description: partial 16S ribosomal RNA
Rfam family: Bacterial small subunit ribosomal RNA
Source: RNAcentral
CGUUUCUCCGCCGGGCGACCGGCGCACGGGUGAGUAACACGUAUGCAACCUGCCCCUGUCAGGGGGACAACCCGCCGAAAGGCGGGCUAAACCCGCGUACAUGCCACCGGGGCAUCCCGGAGGCAGGAAAGGCUUCGGCCCGGACAGGGAUGGGCAUGCGGCGCAUUAGGCAGUAGGCGGGGUAACGGCCCACCUAACCGACGAUGCGUAGGGGUUCUGAGAGGAAGGUCCCCCACACUGGUACUGAGACACGGACCAGACUCCUACGGAAGGCAGCAG